RNAcentral lists this long non-coding RNA (678 nucleotides) under Anas platyrhynchos platyrhynchos (common mallard). RNAcentral's name for it is "lncRNA (ENSAPLG00000027192.1)". The record is from RNAcentral. Lineage: Eukaryota; Metazoa; Chordata; Aves; Anseriformes; Anatidae.
GAUUGGGCUCUACAUUCCAUCUGGAAGAGCUGCAGGGGGUAAUCCAGUUCAAAGUCCUGAGAAGCAGGCUGAAAAGAAGGGACAGUCAAGGAUGGGGGAAGACUCCAACUGAAAAGGAAAUAGGCUGCCUGUGCCGCCAGCAAGACAAAAGAACUCUGCAGGAACUGAUGGUUGAGGAGCAGCUGAAGAAAGAGUGGGAGGCAAAGUACAUGUGGGCCCCGUGCAAGGCUCAUGGCAAAAGGGAUGGAAGAGAGAGGGCCUGGCAGAAGAUGCAGGCGGAAAUGCAGAGGCUGCAGAGGGGGUGUGCUUCCUCCAUGGCACUCAUGGACCUGAAGAACGCUCUGCAGCUGGUACCAGUGGAGAUGAAGCAUCAGCAUGUCCUCAUCCCUCUCCCUCCAGCGAAGAAGGCUGAGGCAGCUCCCCUCAGCAAAUCAAGUGCCAGCUACCAAUUAGUAUGGAGUGUGCAGGCGGGGAAAGUGAUGGAGAAGAGAAAGGAGGCCUGGAAAAUCACUGGGCUGCGGCGCACUGCCUCUGUCUUGCUUCCGCGAUUGCGCUCUACACACAUUUCUAAUUUCAUUUCAUUAAGAUGUAAUAUUUAUCUUUAUUUCAAUAAUUUUUAUCUUUAUUUCAUUAAGAUUUAAUAAACAAAUAAACGGCUGUUCUACAGUUUUCUUUCCA